This is a long non-coding RNA of Cylas formicarius (sweet potato weevil), 997 nucleotides long. RefSeq lists it as uncharacterized. The record is from RefSeq and is a predicted model, not a curated record. Lineage: Eukaryota; Metazoa; Arthropoda; Insecta; Coleoptera; Brentidae. The transcript is spliced from 3 exons.
GGGUAGGCAAUAUAAUAAAAAUACAUUUCAAAAAUAUGUUCUUCAUGAUAAAUAUUUUUGACCUAUCAAAAAUUUGAGGUUCAAAAAAAUUUUAGUGGUAGGGAUUUAUUUUAUUUUUUAGCUUUUAAUUUUUACCAUAGUAGGGCCGCCACUAUAUUAUGGUUUGUUUGUUGAGUUUUUCUACUAUCUAACUAACGAACUAAGCGAAAGAUAACGUCAUUGUCCAAAAUUAUUUCCAUACCUUAAUAUUACCUAUGAUGAUACUAACCUAUGUUUUUAUUUACGUAGUUUGUACCAUGUACAUACUUCUUGAUCAAAGCUAUAGCAAUCUGCUAAAAAAAUUAUUACAGUUAUGUGAACUAUAGAAAUAGGACUCUUAGAAAAUUCCAUCUAGCCCUUAGACAUAUAGAAUCCCUGCCUACGCUAAUUGUACAGAAACUCGUGAAUAAUUAUGUCACCAAAUUUUGAGGUCUGUUAAAUAUGCGCAUGCGCGAGAUUUGAAAUUUUGUUUUUAACCAAUGGCAGCUCUAAUUGGAAAUUCUGACGUUUGACCCAUAAGGCCUUAUGGCUCCCAACAACCAACAUGGCCGCUGUCAAGUUGUUAAUGUUUGGAUGCUGCACUGGAAACAUCUAAAUGGAAAAAAUGUUCAACAAGCAUCUCAUGUAUAGACAGAAUGCUCAUUCUUUCAUCGCAAGUCUAGUAAUUGCAGAAACUUUCGCCUCCCAAAUAUAUUAUUACGAAAAUUACCAAUGGACAAUUUCGUUAGAAAUGCUCAGAAUUUUUUAAAAGUAUGCACACUCCAGCCUUGUUUUAUAGACAAGAUUGUGGUUUAUGCCACAACUACGACUUACGUAUAAUUAUAAUAGCAUUUUAUAUAGUGUUUUAUUAACUCGUUUUGAAGUUCACAGAAGAUAUAGUUGGAGAAUAAACACAACGUAAAAAUAUAAAUGAAUAAAUACAUGAAUUAUUUAAUAAGGCCUUUAUUGAAAAGAAUAA